This 1046-nucleotide long non-coding RNA is filed under the name Ovis aries (sheep). Its description in RNAcentral is "lncRNA (ENSOARG00000025638.1)". The record is from RNAcentral. Lineage: Eukaryota; Metazoa; Chordata; Mammalia; Artiodactyla; Bovidae.
AUGCAGACAGCUACUUGGGUUGAUGAGAAGGGAAGCCCCCACCAGCCGGGCAGCGGGAGGUGGUGUGGACCCGAAAUGGGUGGGCCUGGGAUCUCAGAACUGAGUCUGGGGGCCGUGUGGCUGCCACCCAGACUCAGAAAGCCAGGAUCAUGUGGCAGCGGCCCUGUGGGCACAUACCACUCUGCUCAACACACUCCCCUCCUUCUGGCCCAGGCAGGUGCUGGUGGUCCUGAGCAGAUCCCUCCCCACCACAGAGGGGGACCUGAGACCAGGCAGGCAGCCAGGGCGGGUUGGAGAGAUCUGAAGGGCAUAUGGGGACUGUCCAGAAUACAUGGGAUGGAAAAGAAGAAAAUUGACUGUUAGGGGCUUAUGGGCUGAGGAGCAGAUAGCUAGCCAAGGUGGAAGCGGUAGAGACAUGUAGUUGUUAAGUUGCACAGUUAUGUCUGACUCUGCAACCCCAGGGACGGCAGCAUGCUAGGCUCCCUUGUCCUCCACUAUCUCCCAGAGCUUGCUCACAUUCUUGCCCAUUGAGUUGGUGAUGCCAUCCAACCAUCUCAUCCUCUGUUGCCCCCUUCUUCUCCAAUUUCGUAUCAGGUGGCCUCUGCAUCAGUCCUUCCAAUGAAUAUUCAGGGUUGAUUUCCUUUAGGGUUGACUGGUUUGAUAUGCUUGCUGUCCAAGGGACUCUCAAGAGUCUUCUCUAGCACCACAAUUUGAAAGCAUUAAUUCUUCAGCAAUCAGCCUUAUUUAUGGUCCAAUUGUCACAUCUGUAUAUGACUACUGGAGAAACCAUCAGUUCAGUUCAGUUGCUCAGUCAUGUCCGAUUCUUUGCGACCCCGUGAAUCGCAGCACGCCAGGCCUCCCUGUCCAUCACCAACUCCCGGAGUUCACUCAAACUCAUGUUCAUUGAGUUGGUGAUGCCAUCCAGCCAUCUCAUCCUCUGUCGUCCCCUUCCCCUCCUGCCCCCAGUCUCUCCCAGCAUCAGGGUCUUUUCCAGUGAGUCAACUCUUCACAUGAGGUGGCCAAAGUACUGGAAUUUCAGCUUUAGC